RNAcentral lists this ribosomal RNA (495 nucleotides) under uncultured bacterium. RNAcentral's name for it is "partial 16S ribosomal RNA". It matches the Rfam family "Bacterial small subunit ribosomal RNA", at positions 28 to 507 of the family's 1533-position model. The record is from RNAcentral.
GAUGAACGCUGGCGGCGUGCUUAACACAUGCAAGUCGAACGAAACACCUCUCCCGGCGAUUGACUCAGCUUGCCGUGGGGUGGUUCAUUUGAGGUUACUGCGGGGCGGACGGGUGCGUAGCGCGUGGGUAACCUGCACCUUAGAGGGGGACAACAGUUGGCUACGACUGCUAGUACCGCAUAGUAAGAAGAAUUCGCAUGUUUUCUGCUUGAAAGGUUUAUCGCUAUGGGAUGGGCACGCGCCUGCUUAGCUAGUGAGUAUGGUAACGGCUUACCAAGGGGACGAUCAGUAGACGGGUUGAGAGAGUGAGCCGCCACACUGGGACGGAGCCACGGCGCAAACUCCUACGGGAGGCAGCAGAGGGGAAUAUAGCACAAUGGGGGAAACGAUGAUGCAGCGACGCCGGGUGAGUGAAGAUGUAGUUCGAGAAGUAAAGCUCUAUAAGCAGGGGAGAUAAUGACGGUACCUGAAUAAGAAGCCCCGGCUAACUACGUG